This 23-nucleotide small nuclear RNA is filed under the name Arabidopsis thaliana (thale cress). RNAcentral's name for it is "snRNA_07822". Lineage: Eukaryota; Viridiplantae; Streptophyta; Magnoliopsida; Brassicales; Brassicaceae. The record is from RNAcentral.
ACGAUCCACUGAGAUUCAGCCCU